This 449-nucleotide ribosomal RNA is filed under the name Abiotrophia defectiva. Its description in RNAcentral is "bacterial SSU rRNA". It matches the Rfam family "Bacterial small subunit ribosomal RNA", at positions 28 to 460 of the family's 1533-position model. Lineage: Bacteria; Bacillati; Bacillota; Bacilli; Lactobacillales; Aerococcaceae. The record is from RNAcentral.
GACGAACGCUGGCGGCGUGCCUAAUACAUGCAAGUCGAACGAACCGCGACUAGGUGCUUGCACUUGGUCAAGGUGAGUGGCGAACGGGUGAGUAACACGUGGGUAACCUACCUCAUAGUGGGGGAUAACAGUCGGAAACGACUGCUAAUACCGCAUAGGACAUGGGAUCACAUGAUUCUGUGAGGAAAGGUGGCGCAAGCUAUCGCUAAGAGAUGGACCCGCGGUGCAUUAGCUAGUUGGUAGGGUAACGGCCUACCAAGGCAAUGAUGCAUAGCCGACCUGAGAGGGUGAUCGGCCACAUUGGGACUGAGACACGGCCCAAACUCCUACGGGAGGCAGCAGUAGGGAAUCUUCCGCAAUGGACGCAAGUCUGACGGAGCAACGCCGCGUGAGUGAAGAAGGUCUUCGGAUCGUAAAAGCUCUGUUGUUAGAGAAAGAAACAAGCGCAU